CACGUAGUUAGCCGGGGCUUCUUAGUCAGGUACCGUCAUUUUCUUCCCUGCUGAUAGAGCUUUACAUACCGAAAUACUUCCUCACUCACGCGGCGUCGCUGCAUCAGGGUUUCCCCCAUUGUGCAAUGUUCCCCACUGCUGCCUCCCGUAGGAGUUUGGGCCGUGUCUCAGUCCCAAUGUGGCCGUUCACCCUCUCAGGCCGGCUACUGAUCGUUGCUUUGGUAGGCCGUUACCCUGCCAACUGGCUAAUCAGACGCGGGUCCAUCUCAUACCGAUAAAUCUUUUCCGUCUGUAUCAUGCGAUACUAGCGGGUUAUGCGGUAUUAGCGGUCGUUUCCAACUGUUAUCCCCCUGUAUGAGGUAGGUUACCCACGCGUUACUCACCCGUCCGCCACUCAGUCACAAAGGCUUUCAUCCGAAGAAUCUUUCCUAAGUGCUUCGUUCGACUUGCAUGUGUUAAGCACGCCGCCAGCGUUCAUCCUGAGCCAGGAUCAAACUCU
Molecule: ribosomal RNA, 499 nt
Filed under: uncultured Lachnospiraceae bacterium
Lineage: Bacteria; Bacillati; Bacillota; Clostridia; Lachnospirales; Lachnospiraceae
Description: partial 16S ribosomal RNA
Source: RNAcentral